CCCAGCUCGUCAUGCUAGAGCACUUUUUCAAUGUGCUCCCCAACGACAAGGUGAUGACGCAUUCAGGGUUCCGGAGAGGGAGCCUGAGAAACUGCUACCACAAGCAAGGAAGGCAGCAGGCACGCAAAUGACCUAUGCCCGAUGCGGGAAGGUAGUGACG
Molecule: non-coding RNA, 160 nt
Organism: Pelobates cultripes (western spadefoot toad)
Lineage: Eukaryota; Metazoa; Chordata; Amphibia; Anura; Pelobatidae
Source: the annotation of a GenBank genome assembly